UGAAUAUAAAGAUUUUGUUAUGGUGUAAUAUAAAUUUGAACUUUUAAGUUCUAAAAAAUAGAAAAAAAUUUAAAUAUUAUCCUUAUAGUUUCAUACUUUCUCACUCUAGCACCAUAUAAGUUGAAGUAUAUUAAUUUAGUGUUCUGUGGUUAUCUAUUUUACUAUUUUUUUUAUUAAAUCAGUUACAAAGUUAAAACUAAAGGAUACUAAAGUGAAUAUUCGAUGUACCUAUGUGGGGUAUCUGAAGAUUUUUGUAUAUAAUUUAAUAAAAUAUUAACGAAAAAGCUAACGAAAAGAUAAAAAUAAAACCAUAUGGGACUAACUUGAUACAAUUUAAACUACAGAAUACUAAAGUGUAAAAAUACGAAACCACAAAGAUGAUAUUUCAAACUUAUCCUAAAAAAUAUAAAUCGUAAGUAGAAAUUUUUACUUUGUAGGAAAAGAAAGUUAAAUGGGAGAAGUUUUAUGUU
Molecule: long non-coding RNA, 470 nt
Filed under: Ananas comosus (pineapple)
Lineage: Eukaryota; Viridiplantae; Streptophyta; Magnoliopsida; Poales; Bromeliaceae
Description: long non-coding RNA (ACOM_LNC002564)
Source: RNAcentral